RNAcentral lists this ribosomal RNA (459 nucleotides) under uncultured bacterium. RNAcentral's name for it is "partial 16S ribosomal RNA". It matches the Rfam family "Bacterial small subunit ribosomal RNA", at positions 338 to 795 of the family's 1533-position model. The record is from RNAcentral.
CCUACGGGCGGCAGCAGUGAGGAAUAUUGGUCAAUGGGCGCGAGCCUGAACCAGCCAAGUCGCGUGAGGGAAGACGGUCCUAUGGAUUGUAAACCUCUUUUGUCGGGGAGCAAAAGACGCCACGCGUGGCGUUCCGAGAGUACCCGAAGAAAAAGCAUCGGCCAACUCCGUGCCAGCAGCCGCGGUAAUACGGGGGAUGCGAGCGUUAUCCGGAUUUAUUGGGUUUAAAGGGUGCGCAGGCGGAAGAUCAAGUCAGCGGUAAAAUUGAGGGGCUCAACCUCUUCGAGCCGUUGAAACUGGUAUUCUUGAGUGAGCGAGAGGUAUGCGGAAUGCGUGGUGUAGCGGUGAAAUGCGUAGAUAUCACGCAGAACUCCGAUUGCGAAGGCAGCAUACCGGCGCUCAACUGACGCUGAUGCACGAAAGUGUGGGUAUCGAACAGGAUUAGAUACCCGUGUAGUC